Long non-coding RNA from Sinocyclocheilus grahami, 257 nucleotides. RefSeq lists it as uncharacterized. The transcript is spliced from 3 exons. The record is from RefSeq and is a predicted model, not a curated record. NCBI's taxonomy places the organism in Eukaryota, Metazoa, Chordata, Actinopteri, Cypriniformes, Cyprinidae.
AUGGGUGAACAGGGAGAUCUCAAACUUUGACUACCUGAUGCAGUUGAACACCAUAGCAGGACGGACGUAUAAUGAUCUGGCUCAGUAUCCUGUGUUCCCCUGGAUCCUGUCGGAUUAUACGUCCGAGGAGCUGGAUCUGUCCGAUCCGCGGGUGUUCAGAGAUCUCUCUAAACCUGUGGCCGUGCUGAACGAGAGGAACGCCAAAGCCGUCAGAGAGAAAUAUGAGAGUUUUGAAGACCCCACGGGCACCAUAGACC